Molecule: long non-coding RNA, 510 nt
Organism: Spea bombifrons (plains spadefoot toad)
Lineage: Eukaryota; Metazoa; Chordata; Amphibia; Anura; Pelobatidae
Exons: 3
Source: RefSeq, a predicted model, not a curated record
CAAGACUACCAACAUUAAGGCCAAACAUAUCUUUAAAAGAAGAUUCUGAAGAACUGAAUAAAACAAAAAGCACGAUCUAUACAACUCUUUAUACAUUAAUUCAAUAUCCCCACUGUAUAAAGUUUGGCCUUCUUUUUUGGAAGAUAAUUUGUAGGUAAGUAAAAAGUUCUAUUUGUCUACAAAUUGUUGCUUCUUGGGAUAAAAGAGAAGAUAUGAAAAGCGGCUUCAUAUAAAAUGUGUUGCCUUGAGCUAACUGGGAAAUAACACAAGAAAACAAUUGUUUUGCUCACAGAAUACAUUUUAUUUCAAGGAUUGCAUUACUCAGAUUAUCUGUGCUUAGAACAUGCUUAAUACCAGUUUACAGUUGACAUGGUGCAUUAUGUCCUAUUUAUCUAUUGUACUGGGCUGCGUAAUAUGAGGGAGUUAGGUAACUUUAUAAAUACUUAUUAUAUUCAUUCCUUGCUGCUUGCUCAUUUUGCAUGUCUUUAAGUGUUUCCAACGUGGUGCAGA